AUUGAACGCUGGCGGCAGGCCUAACACAUGCAAGUCGAACGAGUGGCGGACGGGUGAGUAAUGUCUGGGAAACUGCCUGAUGGAGGGGUAUAACUACUGGAAACGGUAGCUAAUACCGCAUACCAUCGGAUGUGCCCCGAGGUGAGUAGCUAGUAGGUGGGGUAAAGGCUCACCAAGGCGACGAUCCAUAGCUGGUCUGAGAGGAUGACCAGCCACACUGGAACUGAGACACGGUCCAGACUCCUACGGGAGGCAGCAGUGGGGAAUAUUGCACAAUGGGCGCAAGCCUGAUACAGCCAGGCCGCGUGUAUGAAGAAGGCCUUCGGGUUGUAAAGUACUUUCAGCGGGGAGGCGUUACCCGCAGAAGAAGCACCGGCUAACUCCGUGCCAGCAGCCGCGGUAAUAC
Molecule: ribosomal RNA, 406 nt
Filed under: uncultured bacterium
Lineage: Bacteria
Description: partial 16S ribosomal RNA
Rfam family: Bacterial small subunit ribosomal RNA
Source: RNAcentral